Molecule: RNase P RNA, 387 nt
Filed under: uncultured Eisenbergiella sp.
Lineage: Bacteria; Bacillati; Bacillota; Clostridia; Lachnospirales; Lachnospiraceae
Description: Bacterial RNase P class A
Rfam family: Bacterial RNase P class A
About the family: Ribonuclease P (RNase P) is a ubiquitous endoribonuclease, found in archaea, bacteria and eukarya as well as chloroplasts and mitochondria. Its best characterised activity is the generation of mature 5'-ends of tRNAs by cleaving the 5'-leader elements of precursor-tRNAs. Cellular RNase Ps are ribonucleoproteins.
Source: RNAcentral
AGGAUGAAUAAUCGCGGCUGUCCGUCCUUCUUUUGGAAGGGCGGCAGGUGAGGAAAGUCCGGGCUUCACAGGGCAGGAUGCCGGAUAACGUCCGGUGGAGGCGACUCCAAGGCCAGUGCAACAGAAAUAAACCGCCCCGGAAUGCUUCGAAAACGGAGCAUUUCCGGAAAGGGCCUUCGGGCCUGGUAAGGGUGGAAAGGCAGAGUAAGAGACUACCGCCCGUCUGGCAACAGGCGGGGCACAUGUAAACCCCAUCCGAAGCAAGACCAGACAGAAAGCGACAGGCUUGCCCGGCCUGCUUUCAGGUAGGUCGCUUGAGGCUGCCGGCAACGGCAGUCCUGGAUAGAUGAUUAUUCACGACAUAACCCGGCUUACAGUCCUGCUCAU